GCCCGGCUAGCUCAGUCGGUAAAGCAUAAGACUCUUAAUCUGAGGGUCUUGGGUUCGAGCCCCUGCUAGGCG
This 72-nucleotide transfer RNA is filed under the name Otolemur garnettii (small-eared galago). It matches the Rfam family "tRNA". Rfam says of the family: Transfer RNA (tRNA) molecules are approximately 80 nucleotides in length. Their secondary structure includes four short double-helical elements and three loops (D, anti-codon, and T loops). Further hydrogen bonds mediate the characteristic L-shaped molecular structure. tRNAs have two regions of fundamental functional importance: the anti-codon, which is responsible for specific mRNA codon recognition, and the 3' end, to which the tRNAs corresponding amino acid is attached (by aminoacyl-tRNA synthetases). tRNAs cope with the degeneracy of the genetic code in two manners: having more than one tRNA (with a specific anti-codon) for a particular amino acid; and 'wobble' base-pairing, i.e. permitting non-standard base-pairing at the 3rd anti-codon position. The record is from Rfam by way of RNAcentral. Lineage: Eukaryota; Metazoa; Chordata; Mammalia; Primates; Galagidae.